This 1108-nucleotide long non-coding RNA is filed under the name Junco hyemalis (dark-eyed junco). RNAcentral describes it as "lncRNA (ENSJHYG00000006175.1)". The record is from RNAcentral. Lineage: Eukaryota; Metazoa; Chordata; Aves; Passeriformes; Passerellidae.
AUGGGAUUUAAGGCCCUUCCACCCAAACCACAGCAUGACUCCACGAUAUGGAAUGUGGCGUGCAUUUUCUCUCGCCUGUGCAUGCUAAACCUGAAUUUUAGCACCGACAGAGGCUCCUGCACCUCUCACCCCUCCCUGACCUCGAUCCCAGCAGAGCCUGGAUCCCCAAAAUUGCCAGAACAGGGAGAAGAUAAAAACGGGGAGCUGCCCUUUGCCCAGCUGUCCCCUCCCGUGUCCUUGUCCCCGGUGACCCCAGAGCCUCCCCCUUCCCAUCCCCGUGCCCGGGACUCCUCUCCUCCCUCCGCAGCUCCUCCCGCAGCCGCGAUUUGCAGCUCCAGACGCAUCCUGCGGCCACACGCAGAGCCAAUAAUCACUGUGAGUGUGCCACCAGCCUGGCUGGCUCCGGGCACGGGCGGUGGCACCGCUGUCACCCCCCCGGGGCCGGGCUGGCCCUGUCCCACCCCCGGCAAGGCUCUGGGGCCGCGGGGAUUGGGGAGCAGCGGGGCUCGGGGUGCAGCGGGGAUUGGGGAGCAGCGGGGCUCGGGGUGCAGCGGGGAUUGGGGAGCAGCGGGGCCCCGGCAGCCCCACACGGGCUGGAACGUGACUGCGCAGGGUGGGUGGGAUGGGAGCGGCACGACCCGGAGCCGGCAGAGCGUGGGCAGCAUCCCGGGGAUGAUUAAUGCGGGGGGAGGCGGAGAGAGCCCCAGCCCGAGGGAGGGAUGGCAGAGACAGCGACAGCGACAGCGAGGACCCGCCCGCAGUCACGGCCAGAGCUCCCCCCCUCGGGAGAUGACAAAUCGGGCUCGCCACCUGCUCCCACCUCUGCUGACUCACACCAUGGGCUCGGAGAGCCCCCGGCUCUGAAUGACCCCUGAAUGAGGAGCCUCUCAAUUAAAAGUUUCCCAUUGACGCCGCCUCAAUGAGAACGCGCUGGGGAAUUCUCCGCGCCUCAAUGGCCCCGGCCCUCGGCGAGUGUUGAGGGGCCGAUGGACUUCCCACAAUGUUUGUACACCUUCCUUUGUGGGGAUUUUUCCCUCCGCUGAGCCAGAAACCUUUAACACAUCCGCUCCCGGCGUGCCGCUCGUUGGGGACAGCGGGGACAGCGGUG